AGUGAACGCUGGCGGCAGGCCUAACGCAUGCAAGUCGAACGGCAGCACAGUAAGAGCUUGCUCUUACGGGUGGCGAGUGGCGGACGGGUGAGGAAUACAUCGGAAUCUACUUUUUCGUGGGGGAUAACGUAGGGAAACUUACGCUAAUACCGCAUACGACCUACGGGUGAAAGCAGGGGAUCUUCGGACCUUGCGCGAUUGAAUGAGCCGAUGUCGGAUUAGCUAGUUGGCGGGGUAAAGGCCCACCAAGGCGACGAUCCGUAGCUGGUCUGAGAGGAUGAUCAGCCACACUGGAACUGAGACACGGUCCAGACUCCUACGGGAGGCAGCAGUGGGGAAUAUUGGACAAAGGGCGCAAGCCUGAUCCAGCCAUACCGCGUGGGUGAAGAAGGCCUUCGGGUUGUAAAGCCCUUUUGUUGGGAAAGAAAAGCAGCAGGUUAAUACCCCGCUGUUCUGACGGUACCCAAAGAAUAAGCACCGGCUAACUUCGUG
Molecule: ribosomal RNA, 492 nt
Filed under: uncultured bacterium
Lineage: Bacteria
Description: partial 16S ribosomal RNA
Rfam family: Bacterial small subunit ribosomal RNA
Source: RNAcentral